UCUGUCUCAUAUAGGGAAGACCCGUGUUCUGAAGCAUCACUUGCUGCGGAGGCCAUUUUUACUACCUAGGAUACUCGGAGGAAGUGCCACCAAAGAAAGUAGAGUUCGUCGACCUAAUCCCCCGAGAAAUGUGGUUGAGAGGCUUUUUGCCUUACGAAACUGUUCAACCGGC
Molecule: ribosomal RNA, 172 nt
Filed under: Tritrichomonas sp. AUTf
Lineage: Eukaryota; Parabasalia; Tritrichomonadida; Tritrichomonadidae
Description: partial 28S ribosomal RNA
Source: RNAcentral